RNAcentral lists this ribosomal RNA (496 nucleotides) under uncultured bacterium. Its description in RNAcentral is "partial 16S ribosomal RNA". It matches the Rfam family "Bacterial small subunit ribosomal RNA", at positions 29 to 507 of the family's 1533-position model. The record is from RNAcentral.
AUGAACGCUGGCGGCGUGCCUAAUACCUGCAAGUCGAGCGAACAGACGAGGAGCUUGCUCCUCUGACGUUAGCGGCGGACGGGUGAGUAACACGUGGAUAACCUACCUAUAAGACUGGGAUAACUUCGGGAAACCGGAGCUAAUACCGGAUAAUAUAUUGAACCGCAUGGUUCAAUAGUGAAAGACGGUUUUGCUGUCACUUAUAGAUGGAUCCGCACCGCAUUAGCUAGUUGGUAAGGUAACGGCUUACCAAGGCAACGAUGCGUAGCCGACCUGAGAGGGUGAUCGGCCACACUGGAACUGAGACACGGUCCAGACUCCUACGGGAGGCAGCAGUAGGGAAUCUUCCGCAAUGGGCGAAAGCCUGACGGAGCAACGCCGCGUGAGUGAUGAAGGUCUUCGGAUCGUAAAACUCUGUUAUUAGGGAAGAACAAAUGUGUAAGUAACUAUGCACGUCUUGACGGUACCUAAUCAGAAAGCCACGGCUAACUACGUG